CGAACGCUGGCGGCGUGCUUAAGACAUGCAAGUCGAGCGAGAAAGCCACCUUCGGGUGGUGAGUAAAGCGGCGCACGGGUGAGUAACGCGUGGAUAAUCUACCUGUAGGCCUGGGAUAACUCCGGGAAACUGGAGCUAAUACCGGAUAAGACCACGGGGUCUUUGGAUUCUGCGGAAAAAGGUGGCCUCUUCUUGAAAGCUACCGCCUAUCGAUGAGUCCGCGUCCCAUUAGCUUGUUGGUGAGGUAAAGGCUCACCAAGGCUUCGAUGGGUAGCUGGUCUGAGAGGAUGAUCAGCCACACUGGAACUGAGACACGGUCCAGACUCCUGCGGGAGGCAGCAGUCGGGAAUUUUGGGCAAUGGGGGAAACCCUGACCCAGCAACGCCGCGUGAGGGAUGAAGGCCUUCGGGUCGUAAACCUCUGUCGGAAGGGAAGAAAGGUCUCCGUUCAAAUAGAGCGGGGGCUUGACGGUACCUUCAAAGGAAGCACCGGCUAACUCC
RNAcentral lists this ribosomal RNA (500 nucleotides) under uncultured bacterium. Its description in RNAcentral is "bacterial SSU rRNA". It matches the Rfam family "Bacterial small subunit ribosomal RNA", at positions 30 to 504 of the family's 1533-position model. The record is from RNAcentral.